GACGAACGCUGGCGGCGUGCUUAACACAUGCAAGUCGAACGGAAAGGCCCUGCUUUUGUGGGGUUCUCGGGUGGCGAACGGGUGAGUAACACGUGAGUAACCUGCCCUUGACUUUGGGAUAACUUCAGGAAACUGGGCCUACUCCCGGAUAGGAGCUCCUGCUGCAUGGUGGGGGUUGGAAAGUUUAGGCGGUUGGGGAUGGACUGGCGGCUUAUCAGUUAGUUGGUGGGGUAGUGGCUUACCAAGGCUUUGACGGGUAGCCGGCCUGAGAGGGUGACCGGCCACAUUGGGACUGAGAUACGGCCCAGACUCCUACGGGAGGCAGCAGGGGGGAAUAUUGCACAAUGGGCGGAAGCCUGAUGCAGCAACGCCGCGUGCGGGAUGACGGCCUUCGGGUUGUAAACCGCUUUCGCCUGUGACGAAGCGGGAGUGACGGUAAUGGGUAAAGAAGCACCGGCUAACUACGUG
Molecule: ribosomal RNA, 468 nt
Filed under: uncultured bacterium
Lineage: Bacteria
Description: partial 16S ribosomal RNA
Rfam family: Bacterial small subunit ribosomal RNA
Source: RNAcentral